This 267-nucleotide long non-coding RNA is filed under the name Elaeis guineensis (African oil palm). Its description in RNAcentral is "long non-coding RNA (EGUI_LNC078108)". The record is from RNAcentral. Lineage: Eukaryota; Viridiplantae; Streptophyta; Magnoliopsida; Arecales; Arecaceae.
AUCAGUCAAAAGUCUCCUUGUGUGUGAUCCCAUAGAUUUUAUUCUGUCUAGUAGUGAGAUAUAUUAUGAUUCCUAUCAUAAUAUCAUCAAAAAUUUUUUCAAUGGAUUGGAACCAUUCUAACUCGGUCCAUCAAGGAUCAUCGAUCAUCAAGAUGAUGAUCAUGGAUCUCACAAUUUAUCAGUGAUACCUAGCGGUAUGUAGUGACAACCUAGUAGAAUAAAAGGUGAUGAACUUCUAGGUAUAGUUAACGUAUGAUACAGUCUCUC